GUGGGGAAUUUUGGACAAUGGGCGCAAGCCUGAUCCAGCAAUGCCGCGUGCAGGAAGAAGGCCUUCGGGUUGUAAACUGCUUUUGUACGGAACGAAACGGUCCUGGUUAAUACCUGGGGCUAAUGACGGUACCGUAAGAAUAAGCACCGGCUAACUACGUGCCAGCAGCCGCGGUAAUACGUAGGGUGCGAGCGUUAAUCGGAAUUACUGGGCGUAAAGCGUGCGCAGGCGGUGCUGUAAGACAGGCGUGAAAUCCCCGGGCUCAACCUGGGAAUUGCGCUUGUGACUGCAGUGCUGGAGUACGGCAGAGGGGGAUGGAAUUCCGCGUGUAGCAGUGAAAUGCGUAGAUAUGCGGAGGAACACCGAUGGCGAAGGCAGUCCCCUGGGCCUGCACUGACGCUCAUGCACGAAAGCGUGGGGAGCAAACAGGAUUAGAAACCCCAGUAGCC
Molecule: ribosomal RNA, 449 nt
Filed under: uncultured bacterium
Lineage: Bacteria
Description: partial 16S ribosomal RNA
Rfam family: Bacterial small subunit ribosomal RNA
Source: RNAcentral